Molecule: non-coding RNA, 885 nt
Filed under: Parazen pacificus (parazen)
Lineage: Eukaryota; Metazoa; Chordata; Actinopteri; Zeiformes; Parazenidae
Description: partial 12S ribosomal RNA
Rfam family: Bacterial small subunit ribosomal RNA
Source: RNAcentral
ACCCCCGUGAGAAUGCCCUAAGUACCCCCCGGAACUAAGGAGCGGGCAUCAGGCACGCACAUGCAGCCCAUAACGCCUUGCUUAGCCACACCCCCAAGGGACCUCAGCAGUGGUAAACAUUAAGCCAUAAGUGAAAACUUGACUUAGUUAAAGCUUAGAGGGCCGGUAAAACUCGUGCCAGCCACCGCGGUUAUACGAGAGGCCCAAGUUGAUAGCCUAACGGCGUAAAGCGUGGUUAGAGAAAUUAAAAUACUGGAAUCAAACACUCCCAAAGCUGUUAUAAGCAUAUGAGAAUACGAAGCCCACCCACUAAAGUGAUUCCACCAAUCCCCGACCCCACGAAAGCUACAAAACAAACUGGGAUUAGAUACCCCACUAUGUGUAGCUGUAAACUUUGAUGGUUACUAAUACCUACCCCAUCCGCCUGGGAACUACAAGCGACAGCUUUAAACCCAAAGGACUUGGCGGUGCUUUAGACCCCCCUAGAGGAGCCUGUUCUAGAACUGAUAAUCCCCGUUAAACCUCACCCCCCCUUGUUAAUACCGCCUAUAUACCACCGUCGUCAGCUUACCCUGUGAAGGAAAAAUAGUAAGCAAAAUCAGUAAAACUCAAAACGUCAGGUCGAGGUGUAGCGAAUGGGGGGGGAAGAAAUGGGCUACAUUCUCUCUUGAGAGCAUACGAAUGAUAGAUUGAAAUAUCUACCUGAAGGAGGAUUUAGCAGUAAGUGGUAAAUAGAGAGUUCCACUGAAACUGGCCCUGAAGCGCGUACACACCGCCCGUCACUCUCCCCAAAUUACCCUUUAAUGCUUUUAUAAAAACUUAUGUAAAACAAGGGGAGGCAAGUCGUAACAUGGUAAGCGUACCGGAAGGUGCGCUUGGAUCAAC